Long non-coding RNA from Daphnia pulicaria, 621 nucleotides. RefSeq lists it as uncharacterized. Lineage: Eukaryota; Metazoa; Arthropoda; Branchiopoda; Diplostraca; Daphniidae. The record is from RefSeq and is a predicted model, not a curated record. The transcript has 2 exons.
CGUGCUAUCAGUUGAGGGAAAUAGUCGGGCGUAUCAGAUUCCGGUAUGAUGUGGGUGGCCUCCUAGUACCCUUUGAAUAAGCCUACGCAGUGCGAAAACUCAGUUUCAUUCAACGUUUCGUCUCACACAUUUCAUGUAAAGUAAAAACAUCUGCAGAACACUGCUGGGUAUAUAGCUACACAUUUUUUAUCAGAUCUCUCCUGUGGGCAUCAGAGUCUGCAUAAGCAAUCGUUUACGGAAUGUUAUAAACAAACAGAUGCACGCAUACAUGUAAAAAACAAGAAUUCAUAAGGGCCUACAACUUGGAUAUGUUAUUAAUCUUUAAAAAACACAUCUGUUUGAAGGCCUAAAGAAUCUUCUUUUUCACACAUAUGAAGAAUGUUAAAAGAAAGUUAAAUGUUACAACAAUAGAAUUUCAAAUAAAAAUGAGAUAAACCUGUUAUUUGUUCAAUGAAUUGUGUGCAUUGAAAAGCAUGCUUCAGCAGCAUUCAAUACAUUUAUCUCCAAUUAAGUGAUGUUAUGACUUUUCAGGUUACUCGUCAGCCAAAAAAGCUUUCUUAUACUUUUUUGGUUCAUUUUCAUAAGCUUCAAAGCCAGAUUUCUUUUAGAUAGAGGAAACAC